Molecule: ribosomal RNA, 414 nt
Filed under: uncultured bacterium
Lineage: Bacteria
Description: bacterial SSU rRNA
Rfam family: Bacterial small subunit ribosomal RNA
Source: RNAcentral
GCAGUGGGGAAUAUUGGACAAUGGGCGAAAGCCUGAUCCAGCAAUGCCGCGUGAGUGAUGAAGGCCUUAGGGUUGUAAAGCUCUUUUACCCGGGAUGAUAAUGACAGUACCGGGAGAAUAAGCUCCGGCUAACUCCGUGCCAGCAGCCGCGGUAAUACGGAGGGAGCUAGCGUUAUUCGGAAUUACUGGGCGUAAAGCGCACGUAGGCGGCUUUGUAAGUUAGAGGUGAAAGCCUGGAGCUCAACUCCAGAAUUGCCUUUAAGACUGCAUCGCUUGAAUCCAGGAGAGGUGAGUGGAAUUCCGAGUGUAGAGGUGAAAUUCGUAGAUAUUCGGAAGAACACCAGUGGCGAAGGCGGCUCACUGGACUGGUAUUGACGCUGAGGUGCGAAAGCGUGGGGAGCAAACAGGAUUAGA